ACGUACACUCCUGCGGGAGGCAGCAGUGGGGAAUAUUGCACAAUGGGCGCAAGCCUGAUGCAGCCAUGCCGCGUGUAUGAAGAAGGCCUUCGGGUUGUAAAGUACUUUCAGCGGGGAGGAAGGCAAUACGGUUAAUAACCGUGUUGAUUGACGUUACCCGCAGAAGAAGCACCGGCUAACUCCGUGCCAGCAGCCGCGGUAAUACGGAGGGUGCAAGCGUUAAUCGGAAUUACUGGGCGUAAAGCGCACGCAGGCGGUCUGUCAAGUCGGAUGUGAAAUCCCCGGGCUCAACCUGGGAACUGCAUUCGAAACUGGCAGGCUUGAGUCUUGUAGAGGGGGGUAGAAUUCCAGGUGUAGCGGUGAAAUGCGUAGAGAUCUGGAGGAAUACCGGUGGCGAAGGCGGCCCCCUGGACAAAGACUGACGCUCAGGUGCGAAAGCGUGGGGAGCAAACAGGAUUAGAUACCCGAGUAGUCCCAUGAU
RNAcentral lists this ribosomal RNA (481 nucleotides) under uncultured organism. RNAcentral's name for it is "partial 16S ribosomal RNA". It matches the Rfam family "Bacterial small subunit ribosomal RNA", at positions 329 to 801 of the family's 1533-position model. The record is from RNAcentral.